CCCUUAGGCCUUGACAUACUAAGAACUUUCCAGAGAUGGAUUGGUGCCUUCGGGAACUUAGAUACAGGUGCUGCAUGGCUGUCGUCAGCUCGUGUCGUGAGAUGUUGGGUUAAGUCCGCAACGAGCGCAACCUUUUCCUAUUUGCCAGCGGGUCAUGCCGGGAACUUUAAGGAUACUGCCAGUGACAAACUGGAGGAAGGCGGGGACGACGUCAAGUCAUCAUGGCCCUUACGGCCAGGGCUACACACGUGCUACAAUGGUCGGUACAAAGGGUUGCUACCUCGCGAGAGGAUGCUAAUCUCAAAAAGCCGAUCGUAGUCCGGAUCGCAGUCUGCAACUCGACUGCGUGAAGUCGGAAUCGCUAGUAAUCGCGGAUCAGAAUGCCGCGGUGAAUACGUUCCCGGGCCUUGUACACACCGCCCGUCACACCAUGGGAGUUUGUUGCACCAGAAGUAGGUAGUCUAACCGCAAGGAGGACGCUUACCACGGUGUGGCCGAUGACUGGGGUGAAGUCGUAACAAGGUAGGCGUACUACA
Molecule: ribosomal RNA, 536 nt
Filed under: uncultured bacterium
Lineage: Bacteria
Description: bacterial SSU rRNA
Rfam family: Bacterial small subunit ribosomal RNA
Source: RNAcentral